This 506-nucleotide long non-coding RNA is filed under the name Phoenix dactylifera (date palm). RNAcentral's name for it is "long non-coding RNA (PDAC_LNC006077)". The record is from RNAcentral. Lineage: Eukaryota; Viridiplantae; Streptophyta; Magnoliopsida; Arecales; Arecaceae.
AGAGAGAGAGAGAGAGAUUCGUACCAUCCUUCGACAAAGGAAGGCCCGCUGCUCUGCUGCUGCUGCUGAGGUGGCGGCUGGGCGUACGGCGGAGGGUAACCCUGCGAGGGGUACCCCUGAGGCGGAUAUCCCUGCGCGUACCCCUGCGGCGGGUACCCCUGCUGCGGAUACCCCGGCGGCGGAUAAGCAUCCUUCGCGUACCCCUCCUGUGGAUACCCUAAUCAUCACCUAAAACCAACUCCAUCAGAAACCCUACAAACCAGAGAAAAUUCGAGAACGAAUUCGAGAGAGAAAUCGCUACCUUGGGGAGGAGGGACGCCAACGGGGGGCUGUUGCUGGUUGUAGUAGCUCAUCUCUCUCCUUCCUUGUUCUCGCCGGCGGCGGAGAUCGGGUUCAAUAAGGCUCCGAUGCCGAGUUCUGAGAGAAUUGUGGGAUCGGAGAGCUUUAUAGGAGGAGAGAGAAAGUGGAGGACGCGUAUCGAGAACUGUUAAUACGCCCGAACCGUA